Molecule: RNA transcript, 5528 nt
Organism: Mus musculus (house mouse)
Lineage: Eukaryota; Metazoa; Chordata; Mammalia; Rodentia; Muridae
Gene: T2
Gene name: brachyury 2
Exons: 9
Source: RefSeq, marked provisional
CAGUUUUCACAGCCAAACGAAGCAGCUUAAGGAGAUAAUGGUGACAGGCUGGGAAGAUGUUGCUAUGGCAACACAGCAGCAGGUCUCUCUUGGGAUGCUGCGUCAAAUAGCAUACACACUACAGAUGAUGUCAUCCGGUAUCUUUUUGGCCUCCUCAGGUCUGGCAUAUUUUCCCUCCUGCUCAGACUCACCUAAGAUAACUGAAUUCAGCUUCAGGAGAAAAUCCCGCCAGACACCUGGUGGGUGAUCCGUCCUUGGUAUGGCUAUCUCACCAUGGUGACGCUACCUGAUGCAGCCUCUGCUAAGCCCGGCAGGCUCUGCUCUUCAGAUGCUAGCUUUGUUUCCAGAGCUAAUUAACGCCAGGCUACACCAGUGUGCUGUGAAGUUCCCUGAAGCUUCCUGGGCCCAACCACCUGCUCUUCCACCUCUUCCUGGUUUCCCUCCUUUCCUCAAGCAGGAUGCUGUUCUGAUCUUGCCUGCGACCUAGCCCUCGAUGCAAAUGUAUGCUACAUAGUAAUCGUGUGUGUGUGUGUGUGUGUGUGUGUGUGUGUGUGUGUGUGUGUGUGUAUACUUGGAACAAAAGAUGAAUGAGACAAUAUUUACCCUCACUGUGUAAAUGAAAAUCUUUCCCAUAUCACACAGAAGAGAGCACAUUAUUUUCUCUAUCACAUAUGCUAUUUGGAUGGCCAUACCUACUUGAUUACAUGACCCCAGUGGUUUCGUAUUUGGGAUGCCCUGUUCAAGUCAUGUGCCUGACAAGUGAUGGCUCAGACCCCUCUCUCCUCCCUCCCCAUUCCAAGGCUGAAUGGGAGGGGCUAGCUGAUGUCAUUCUUUCAGGGAGUAUACCAAAGAUGAUGCAGACAGGAAGUCCUUCCUUCCCUCCCAUUGUCCACAGGUUCGUAAGAUGCUUACCUUCAUUGUUUGGCCAAUGAUCAAAAGAGGAGGACUUUGUAAGCCUUAAUAACUCAUUAAAAAGAACACAGCCAAACUUGUUUGUUAAUAUAGAUCCAUUACACUCUCUCUCUCUCUCUCUCUCCCCCCCCCCCCUUUCCUCCUCAUCUCUGUCCCUUUCUUUUUAUUAGAAGAAUACUGGAUAUCCAACAUAGGGCUUCAUUUGUGCAAAGCAGAGGCUCUACCACAGCCUAGCAUAAAAGUCUUGGAAGAAAUUCAAGAUAAAGCGUGUGGAAAGGAUUAAUAUAUAUCUACUUCUGAUUCUUAAGUUAAGUCUUGUUUGGGACCAGGAUACUAAAUCAACACCUAUUUCCCCAAAUCCACUAAGCUACUAGACUUUGUCAUCAAGAUGCAGUGAUAACUGGGGGUGGGGUGGUGGUGGUAUACAUUCAGCACCUGGGCUCUGGGCUCAGCAGAGUUGCUUCAAGUCUAAAGCUAGCCUGGGCUACAUAAUGAAACCCUGUCUUGCUCGACCUAACAAACAAACGGAUGACAAAGGUUCAGUGGUGACUGCAGCAAAUAUUUUUAAAAGUUCAAAUAAAAAGUUAGGAAGAGUUAAGCCACACUUUGGAGAGAAGCAGAAAUUUGAUCUUGAGUUUGACAGUAUACCUGUUUGAUCAUGAGUUAGUAGAUCAGCUGGUAUGGCUACAAUCUCAGACUUAGCCUCCAUGUGAGUCAAAUAAAUACUCUACCCUCAGGCACUGUGGUGCACAUACACGCAGACAAAAUACCCAUACACAUAAAAGAAAUCUAGCAUUUUUGGUUUUGAGCCUAACCUUUAGUGGUUGAGCCAUCUUUCCAGCCUAAACUAAUUAAACAAAUCAAAACCCCAAGGCAUUUAAUUGGAUGUUUUUGCUAUUGGCUUCUGCCAGUCAUAAUUAGGAUUUCUAUUGCUUUGAUGAAACACCAUAACCAAACAGGAAGUUGGUAGGGAAUUAUUUGGAAUAACUCGGUAUUCAUCAUGAAGGAAGUCAGGACAGGAGCUCAAACAGGGCAGGAACCUGGAGGCAGGAGCUGCUGCAGGGGCCAUGGAGGGUGCUGCUUACUGGUUAACCUGCUUUCUUACAGAACCCAGAACCACCAGCUUAGGGAUGGCACCACCCACAGCAGACUGGGCUCUCCCCACAUUGAUCACCAAUUAAGAAAAUGUCUUAAAGCUGGAUCUUAGGGAGGCGAUUUCUCAGUUAAGGUUUGCUCCUUACUCUAGCUUGUGUCGGGCUGACAGACGAGCCAGCCAGCACACUGCCCCUCCCCCACCGAAUACCCCAGCCUUCACUUGCUCACGUGGCAGGCCCCUGCCUUCUGGAGGAAUCUCAGUGAUCCUGAGAGGCAGGAAGAUGUUUUAGGGUUCCAUCACUCUGACAAAAUACCCGUGGAAAUGAGAAAGGAAAGAUUUAUCUGGGCUCCCAGUUUCAUAGUGGAGCAGGGUAUGUGGACAGCUGAACUUGUGCCGGGUCAGAUGGCAGCAGAAGGGCCUGCCUGCGGGAUGGAAGCCUCCCUUCUCAGAUGCUGCCACGUGGCCUGAUAUUCUUUUGCCACUCUCUUUGCUGGCAGCCCAUGCUCCUGGUGGCUCCUCAUGCAUGCGUGUGUCCGUGUAGCCACGUUUCCUCUCACAAGGACAGUGGGUUAGAUCGGGGCCCAUUCUGUGAUCUCAUUUAACUCAGUGGGCCUCUUUCAAGGACCUGUCUCCAAAUGCAACCAUAUUCUGAGGUGCUGAGGUUGGGGCUUCAACUUGUGACUACUGGGGACCGAGACUCAGCCUGAAAAUUCUCUAAAGCCAGGCCAUAGAUAAAGCUGCAGGUAUUGGGAUGCUGUGCUCCUUUUGGGGCAAGCAAAAUGCUCACAGCUUGAUUAUGGUGAUAAUCGCACAUCUCUGGAAAAACCCCACCGAAAGCCCACUGAGUCACAGGCUUUCAAGGGGGGAGUUUUGAGUAUAUGAAUCACAUACCUCAAUUUUUAAAACUAUUUUUAAUUAUGUAUAUACAUGUCUGUCUCUGUAUGUUCCUGUGCAUGCAGUCGGAGGCCAGAGGCAUUAGAUACCUCUGGAGCUGGUGGUUGGGAGCUGGGUCCUCUGUAAGAGCAUGCACGCUCUUAAUCUCGGAGGUGUCUAUCCAGUUCCUGUUUCAACCUUCUGUAUAAGAAAGCAUCCUGCAAAAGGUCAAGAAGGGGUUAUAUAGGUGGCUAUGGGGGAAGAGAAGGGAAGGGAAGGGUGGAAUCUGAAGCCCUGUGAUAGCAGUCUGCGAUGACUGCCAGUCUCCCACAUAAGCCCUAAGAAUGCUCUGCCCCCAUUGCCAGCGUCUUUGACAAACCACCUGCCAGGACUUCUUUCCACCAUCCAACACCCCUCAGCCCCGUUGCUCAGCUACAGAAAACAGAGCAUGGUUUGCUGCUGGGAAUCACAAAGCCAAGAAACAGAAGGAGCGCGCUUGGUGGGAGGGGGCUGGGCUGGAGGCGGAGCAUGUGGCCAGCCAGAGCCAGGCAGCGGCUGUGGUCCUGUAGCCCCUCCCUGCCUAGAGGAUGCGGCUGCUGGGCUUAGAAAAGCAACUUCCUUUCCAGGGGCGUCUGGGAGACUCAGAAUUGUCUUGCCUGCUUCCUCACUUUCUGUAACUGUUCCUGUGGUUUGCCCACUUUGAGCCUCAGCCAGUUUGCAGCAUCAAGGAGCUGCUGCUUCAGUGUACUCUGUGAAAGGGCUCUCUGCCUGUGUUUCCUAACUGCUUCCAGAACUGGCUUGUGCAUCUUUUUGUUUUGGGGUACACACAGGCACAGGCAAGCUAACUGUCCAACACGUCACAGUAUAAAAAAAGUCUAACUCUGUUUUUAAAAUGCUGUAAUUUUAAAAUUGACGCACAUUUUUGUUGUUGUUGUUGUUCCUGUGACAGGAUGGCCCAGAUCUUGAGAGACCAUUUUAAAACGCCAAAGAAACACAGGGGGUGUCACACCCAAGUGGAGGACAAAGAGAAGGCAGCACAGCAGACCUUGCCGGAACAGUCGCAGCCCGAAGCUUGGUCAGCAUCCCCGCCCAAGGCUUCAACCAGGUUCCCUUCCAGGUCCAACGCCUACCUGGUAAGACAGAAUCCCGGUAAGACGUGUACUCCUGAGAGCAGGAACACGCUGAGCAUCCCAAAGGCCCAGAAAAGGGGGCGCUGCUUCCUGCUGUGCCAGGCGGGCAUUUGUCACAAAUCCCUCCACCAGAGACAACCGCCAAUCACUUGCCCAACAGGCAGAGGGGAGGGAGACCCAACACCUCUACCUAAGCUCUAUACACCGAUUAUAGGGUUGCAAAACGAGCUGACCAAAUGUGGGAUCUUGAAGAACAUGAGCGACGACGAGGAUUUCUGGAAACUGGUUCAGGAGGAAGCUCUUGGAGUGGGAACUAAAGAAAAGCUCCAGAAGAUAAAACUUAAGUUGAUGAAUCCCAGGCCCUGGCCACCAGCUGCUUCCAGGAGAAGGGAGACCGAGAUGCUGGUCAGCAGUGAUCAAGACAGUGGGGCACGCCAGGGAACACAGCAGGACCAUCCAGGGAGAGAACAGGAAGUUGUGGAGGAUGGCCCGGAGAAGGAGAGGAUAAAACAGGGCCCGCACCAACCUGGCUUGGAUCCACCCAAGCAUCGAGGGGACACAGCGAGUCUUCUCGCUCGGCUCACGGAAUGGAGAAAAAGAUGCCAACAGCAUGGAGCUGCCCAGAGGCUGCAUCGAGGACCUGAGGAGAGCAAGACUAUGUGUAAGACAAGGACGGAUUCCCAAAGCAAGAUGUAUCUUAGCCGGUUGUAUCGGAUGUAUUCCACCUCCCUUGCUAACAUGGAAUUCUCCAGAAAACUGCUGGAAAGAGAUGGCCGCUUUGCAGACAUGGAUGCUGAGCACAGGGCCCGAAGCCUGGUCAGUGUCCUGUGGGCCCAGGGGUAGCAGGCAUCCCUCCUGCUUGGAAGUAGAUUUGGGAGGUACAGAGGGAGCUGGGAUGGGAGGUAUUUUGUCUCCUGGCUGCAAGAUCCAGUUCCAUUUUCCUGGAAUUGUUACUCAAAUCAGGACCUUUUGUGGCAGUGGCCAGGGACAGAAAGACAGGUCCAUUUGGGUUGUAGUGAAGUACACUCUGAAGUCUAGGGGUAGAGAUUCACUGAGUUAAUAGAGUAUUUGCCUAGCAUGCAGAAAACCUUGGGCUUAAAGCCCAGCAUCAUAUGAACAGGGCAUGAUGGCAGGUACCUGUAAUCUUAGCACUUGAAGGGCUAGAGGCAGGAAAAUUGAGAGUUCAGAGUCACCCUAAGUUACACCAUGAGUGUAAGGCCAGCCUGGGAUACCUGAGGACUCUGUCUCAAAAGAAAAUGAUCAAAUCCACCUUAAAAACAGUAUAGAGCCCAAACCACUUCACCUUCCUUCCUCUGGUCUUCUGCUUGUUCCUACGCUGCACUGGGUCAGUAGGACUGGUUAUAGAGAAGAGAUGGACUCACGUAGCAAGCAUGAAGGUGGACCCAAGUGGUAGUUGUUGGUUAUAAGCUGGAUUACAUGGUCCCAAGAGAACGUACACAGGCAGAUGUUCCACCAAGAGAACGUACACAGGCAGAUGUUCCACCAAGGGAACUAGA